GGCAGUGGUAGUACAGUGGUUAAGACCUUGUGUUGCUAAUUGGAAGAUCGUGAGUUCAAACCACAGCCUUGCCA
Non-coding RNA from Ameiurus melas (black bullhead), 74 nucleotides. The record is from the annotation of a GenBank genome assembly. Lineage: Eukaryota; Metazoa; Chordata; Actinopteri; Siluriformes; Ictaluridae.